RNAcentral lists this long non-coding RNA (568 nucleotides) under Mytilus galloprovincialis (Mediterranean mussel). Lineage: Eukaryota; Metazoa; Mollusca; Bivalvia; Mytilida; Mytilidae. The record is from RNAcentral.
UUAAAUUACAAACAAAAGUGACGCAACCAUUUUAACCUUCUCUAGCGUAGAUCAUGUAGAUGGCUUACAUUUUCUUGAACCUAUCAACGUUUUAGCAUAUUGAAAAUCAAAUGAAGAAUGACAAACGAUUAAAUCAAAAAUGAAAUUUGUAUAUUAGCACCGUAAAUCUUACAACUAACAAUUUUACGCAUUUACUUUUAUCACAGUUGACUAGAUGGAUAUAUGAAUAUACUUUCAGAACACUCUAUAUUAUCACACUAGACACUAACUAAAGAUAAAACAAAAAAUUCGGAAAAAAUCUGUUUAAUAGAUACCUGAGAAUUUGUUUGAAAUACACGAAAACGAAUUCCGGCGAAAAUAAUUACAAUAACAGUAGAUAGUUUGUCAGUAAUUUGCAUAACACGUAACAAUUAAGAUACCUUCUUUUUGCAAUAUUUCAGAUUUUGUUGACAUUUAAGUUUGCAUGUUAUGAGAAAAGAAAGUAAAAACUAUUCGAUGACUGUGUCAUGUCCAGCCGCUAUUUGAAUGCAUAUUAUGACGAUAUCGUAGUUGAUUGAUGUGAAUACAU